UCGAGUUUUAACGAUGUUUACCUCAUCUAUCGCGUUGGGGCGGUUUUCGAUUGCCGCUCCUGGAAAUAGAAUCAACAAAAAUUGCUUCCUCCACAAUUCAAUUGGAACGAUUCCUCCGAACCGGUUCGCUGUAUAUGAGGGGUGGCAAUUAAAAUUUCUGAAAUAGUAAACAGCAGUUGAUGUUAUCAAGUCUAAUCAUAUUGGCUGAAAUAAAAACUCCUCCUGGAAAAUUAGGAAAUUUACAUAGAAAAUGUAAGUAAUUGCCAAUAAAUCAAAUCAGCUAAUGAUAAUAA
Armigeres subalbatus is the source of this 293-nucleotide long non-coding RNA. RefSeq lists it as uncharacterized. The transcript has 2 exons. The record is from RefSeq and is a predicted model, not a curated record. NCBI's taxonomy places the organism in Eukaryota, Metazoa, Arthropoda, Insecta, Diptera, Culicidae.